GACGAACGCUGGCGGCGUGCCUAAUACAUGCCAGUAGAACGCUGAAGGAGGAGCUUGCUUCUCUGGAUGAGUUGCGAACGGGUGAGUAACGCGUAGGUAACCUGCCUGGUAGCGGGGGAUAACUAUUGGAAACGAUAGCUAAUACCGCAUAAUAGCAGUUGUUGCAUGAUAACUGUUUGAAAGGUGCAAUUGCACCACUACCAGAUGGACCUGCGUUGUAUUAGCUAGUUGGUGGGGUAACGGCUCACCAAGGCGACGAUACAUAGCCGACCUGAGAGGGUGAUCGGCCACACUGGGACUGAGACACGGCCCAGACUCCUACGGGAGGCAGCAGUAGGGAAUCUUCGGCAAUGGACGGAAGUCUGACCGAGCAACGCCGCGGGAGUGAAGAAGGUUUUCGGAUCGUAAAGCUCUGUUGUAAGAGAAGAACGAGUGUGAGAGUGGAAAGUUCACACUGUGACGGUAUCUUACCAGAAAGGGACGGCUAACUACGUG
Molecule: ribosomal RNA, 495 nt
Filed under: uncultured bacterium
Lineage: Bacteria
Description: partial 16S ribosomal RNA
Rfam family: Bacterial small subunit ribosomal RNA
Source: RNAcentral